UACGGAGGGUGCAAGCGUUAAUCGGAAUUACUGGGCGUAAAGCGCGCGUAGGCGGCUUUGUUAAGUCGAAUGUGAAAGCCCCCGGGCGUCAACCUGGGAACUGCAUCCGAUACUGGCUGGCUAGAGUGUGGUAGAGGGAAGUGGAAUUCCAGGUGUAGCGGUGAAAUGCGUAGAUAUCUGGGGGGAACAUCAGUGGCGAAGGCGGCUUCCUGGACCAACACUGACGCUGAGACGCGAAAGCU
Molecule: ribosomal RNA, 242 nt
Filed under: uncultured bacterium
Lineage: Bacteria
Description: partial 16S ribosomal RNA
Rfam family: Bacterial small subunit ribosomal RNA
Source: RNAcentral